This 2076-nucleotide long non-coding RNA is filed under the name Monodelphis domestica (gray short-tailed opossum). RNAcentral describes it as "lncRNA (ENSMODG00000039769.1)". The record is from RNAcentral. Lineage: Eukaryota; Metazoa; Chordata; Mammalia; Didelphimorphia; Didelphidae.
UCAUCACGAAAAUAUUGCUGUCACUGUGCAGAAUGUCUUUUGGUUCUGCCUUCUUCACUUUGCAUCAGUUUGGCACUGUGCAAAGCUGCCCAUACAAAUCUCUCAAUAAGGAAAAAAUAUAUGAAGCACAUUCUCUAUGGUAGACACUGUUUUAAGUACUUAAAAAUAUAUCAUUUUAUCCUUACAACAACCCUUUGAGGUAGGUGCUAUUAUUAUUUCUACUUUACAAUUGUGGAAACUGAGGCAUAUGGCAGCUAAGUGAUUUGUUCCGGUCAUACAGCAAGUAAAUACUUAAGACUACAUUUGAAUUCACAUCUUCCUAACACCAGGCCUAACAUUCUUAUCUAGACACUUAACUACCCACAGGAUAAUUGGCAUGAAAUAUAAAAUUCAAGACUUAGUGGCUGAGCACCUCAUUUUGCCUCUCCUAGAUGAACCAAAAUUAUAAUCCAGGUUGUGCAUAACCCAUGUUUUCUAUACCUCACCUUGUCCUCUCUCCACUAUUUGGACUUCCUUGUUCCCUUAACCUGUGCCUUUGAGAAGGACAAAAAUGAUAUCAAGAUCAACAUAUACAGUAAAUUAUUUAACUUGAAAAGGUUACAAUAUAAGAAUAAAGUGGAGGGAGAGUUGGUUCUUGACUUUUUUAUUUGCAGGUGAUUGUGUACUCAUUGCAGCCCCUAAGUCUGAGAUACAAAAGAUAACGAAUCAUUUCUCUGAUGCCCAUUUUAAUUUUGGCCUGAUAAUUAACACCAAGAAAAUAGAGGUUUUCCACCAAUUGACAUUGGCACUAUUGAUGACAGUAAACGUAGAACUUUUGAAUGCUGUGGAUGAAUUAAUUUACCUUGGCAGUAAACUUUCCUGAUGAGAUUGAUGUACACAUUGCUAGGAGGUUCCCAAGAAGAGUAUGAGAGAGAAGUAUUAAGCUUCCUACCAAACCCAAGAUUUACAGAGCCAUUGUGUCCACUUCAUUGUUUUAUGCCCAUGAACCCUGUACAGUACACCAGUGCCAUGCCAGAAAAUUGAACUAUUUCCAUUUGAAUUGUUUUAGGAAGAUUUUGAAGAUUACUUGGCAAGAUAAGGUAUUGGAUACUGAUGCUCCCUCUCUCUCUUUUUUAGCUGAAAUGCAAAUUAUUCAAUCUCUACUGCAGAGAAUGCAAUUCCAGUGGUCUGGACACAUUGUUCAAAUGCCAAACAUUAGUUUGCCUAAAAGACUAUUUUAUAAAAAACUCACACAAGGUAAGGAGGAUCCCAUGAAGGAAACAAUAUGAUGAACAGAGGGAGGGGACCCCUGUCCCAGGGCAACUCGGGUCGAUGGGAUCCAGAACACAUCACACCUUGGUGGAGGAAGGUAGGGUCCAGUGAGUAGCCUCUGGAGGUGUUGAAUGAAUGUGUGGAGAAUGUUGUGUGAGACUGUGGGGGUAAGGUCUCCUGAGUCAUUGACAUAUGGCUAAGUGGCUGACCACUGGUCCCUGACUUGGGGGUUAUUCGGGAUGGCCUAUUGCCAAGUUGGACUAAUCCGGGAGAACUGCUCACCUAUUUCUGAGUGUGGACCAGGAAAGUAUACAGUUCCUAUUUCCUGUGAGGGGAUAGGUCAGAAAUCCUGGAAAGCAUGUGGAUGAAGACUGUGACACCACUCUUAGCUAACUUCACUUAAGGAUACCUGACUCCCUCUCCCUUGGAUGGACCGUGGAAGGAUUGGUUGGACUCGACUCCCUUAAGAAGAGUAUUCUGGCCAGUUGAUUUUAGUCAACUUUAUUUGUGGGGUUAGAGUCCCCUCUGCAGGGGUUAGAGGCCCUUUACUGGGGUUCAAGUCCCUGGUUCAGGGUGGUUAGAGGCCCCCUGUUGGAAGUAGGAAACCCAGUGGAUGCACUGGAGGAAGGGGGUGCAGCCCCAGGGAAACCCAGCCACAACACUUUGUUUUUGAGACCACUCACCCCUAGACCCUUGGGGUGAAUAGAGGAACACAUCCAGCCCAACAUUCAUAUUUGUUGUGUCUGUCUUGACUGUCCAGUUCCUCACAUAUUGUCCUGUAUGCUUUUGUGUUCGGAAAAAUGGUCUCUAAAUAGCUUGAAAAAA